Long non-coding RNA from Folsomia candida, 1087 nucleotides. RefSeq lists it as uncharacterized. Lineage: Eukaryota; Metazoa; Arthropoda; Collembola; Entomobryomorpha; Isotomidae. The record is from RefSeq and is a predicted model, not a curated record. The transcript is spliced from 5 exons.
UUUUACGAAAUGUUCUUGAGCAGACAUUACUCUCAUUGAUUAUCUGUAUAUUUCGUUACUACGCACUUCACUACGUGCUUAUUUAAAUAUCAGUUUGUAAAAUGUGAUCCCAUCUUUAAUUUCUUUCUGGGCAAGAUUUCCAAUAAAAGAAUACUUUAAACCCAUUUUCAAUAAUUUGAUUUGUUCGUACUGGUGGAAAUUCCAAUCGUUACGAAUUUUUAAGUUUUAUUAAGAAAUUUUCGUGUGGCUGAAAUUGGAUGGAAUAUGUACCAAUGAAUAAUUGAAAAAUACGAGAAGGAUGUUACCUUGCGCAUCAACUUUAAUAGCAAUCAAAGAUUUUCAGAAGAAUGAUGUAAUUCAUAUUUUCACUCGAGUUCAACCCACUCAUGGAACCCGUCAUGUUUUGAUCACCUUGGACGUUUUCAUCUGAUGGAGAUUCAUCCCACCAGUCACAACGCUGUCGAAUGGAAAACUCUAAAAAAUGGAAAGCGGAGAUCUUGUUCCGGUUAAUUAGUUAAGCCAAGCCACCUUCCCAUUAUUAUCCUUUCUUAACUGUAUAUAACUUAUGUAGAUUUAUCGGGUAUAUAUUUUAAUCUAAUAUACCGUACACAAUUAUAAAUGGCACACACUUAAAAAUAAUGUUACCCCGUUGAAAAGUAAAUGCACUCUGAAUUCGUUAAGUACACUGUAUUGAAUCCAGAAUAACGCAAACUUUAUAAGGAAAACAUAUAGCCUGGUCUGGAUUUUGCAUAGUUUACUUGAUAUAUUCAUACACUUUAUAACAGAGUAGCAUUAGUUUUAAGAGCGUGGCAAAAAUUAGUAAUAAUCGAUAUUUGACGUAAAUGAAAAUUCCGCCUCAUCAAAUGCAUAUGUACGUCCAAAUGCUAAAUAAUGCCAUGACACAAAUUUUGUAUGUUCCCAAACAAAUUUGAAAAUUCAUUUCUAGUGCAAAGUGCUUAGUAGCGUGAUAAAAAAAUUCGAAACUAACAAUCAUUCGGCACGAAAGAUUAGGACUAGAUUAAAACUGAGAUAAUAUGAGUGCACAAAACUUAAAAUUGGAAAUUAAAAUAAUUGCUGUUGCGAAAAA